CAGUCGCCGCGGGAAUACGUAGGGUGCGAGCGUUAAUCGGAAUUACUGGGCGUAAAGCGUGCGCAGGCGGUUAUGUAAGACAGGUGUGAAAUCCCCGGGCUUAACCUGGGAACUGCGCUUGUGACUGCACAGCUAGAGUAUGGCAGAGGGGGGUGGAAUUCCACGUGUAGCAGUGAAAUGCGUAGAGAUGUGGAGGAACACCGAUGGCGAAGGCAGCCUCCUGGGCCAAUACUGACGCUCAUGCACGAAAGCGUGGGGAGCAAACAGGAUUAGAUACCCGGGUAGUCCCUGUCUCUUAUAA
RNAcentral lists this ribosomal RNA (301 nucleotides) under uncultured bacterium. RNAcentral's name for it is "partial 16S ribosomal RNA". It matches the Rfam family "Bacterial small subunit ribosomal RNA", at positions 509 to 809 of the family's 1533-position model. The record is from RNAcentral.